CUAUGCGCCUUGCCAGCCCGCUCAGAAACUUAAAGGAAUUUGACGGGGGCCCGCACAAGCGGUGGAGUAUGUGGUUUAAUUCGAUGCUACACGAAGAACCUUACCAGGGUUUGACAUACAAGUAGUAGGGAAAGGAAACUGGACCGACCCUUCGGGGAGCUUGAACAGGUGCUGCAUGGCUGUCGUCAGCUCGUGUCGUGAGAUGUUGGGUUAAGUCCCAUAACGAGCGCAACCCCUACCUUUAGUUGCCAUCAGGUUAAGCUGGGGACUCUAAAGGAACUGCCUACGCAAGUAGUGAGGAAGGCGGGGAUGACGUCAAAUCAGCACGGCCCUUACGUCCAGGGCUACACACGUGCUACAAUGGCCGAUACAGAGGGCAGCUACCUGGUGACAGGAUGCAAAUCUCCAAAGUCGGUCUCAGUUCGGAUCGGAGUCUGCAACCCGACUCCGUGAAGUUGGAUUCGCUAGUAAUCGCGCAUCAGCCAUGGCGCGGUGAAUACGUUCCCGGGCCUU
This 513-nucleotide ribosomal RNA is filed under the name uncultured Sphingobacteriales bacterium. RNAcentral describes it as "bacterial SSU rRNA". It matches the Rfam family "Bacterial small subunit ribosomal RNA", at positions 903 to 1382 of the family's 1533-position model. The record is from RNAcentral. Lineage: Bacteria; Pseudomonadati; Bacteroidota; Sphingobacteriia; Sphingobacteriales.